UAUUUUAAAAUUUCCAGUUACGAAAAUUCUUGUUUUUGACAAAAAUUUAAUGAAUAAAUAAAAUUGUUUGUGUUUGUUACCUCUGGGCCCCGAUUGCUCGAAUGCCCAAAGAAAAAGUUGCAAAGAUAUGAAAACUCCACAGUGUGUUGUAUUGAAACGGUUUUAAUUGUCCUAUAACAAAAGCACAGAAAUCUCUCACCGUUUGGAAUAGCAAGAAAGAAACUUACAAGCCUAGCAAGACCGCGCACUUAAGCGCAGGCCCGGCUGGACUCUCCAUCUCUUGUCUUCUUGCCCAGUAAAAGCUCUCAUGCUCUUGCCAAAACAAAAAAAAAA
RNAcentral lists this unclassified non-coding RNA (333 nucleotides) under uncultured Saccharomyces. RNAcentral describes it as "sequence contains ITS1". The record is from RNAcentral. Lineage: Eukaryota; Fungi; Ascomycota; Saccharomycetes; Saccharomycetales; Saccharomycetaceae.